AGCGAACGCUGGCGGCAGGCUUAACACAUGCAAGUCGAACGCCCCGCAAGGGGAGUGGCAGACGGGUGAGUAACACGUGGGAACGUACCCUUUGGUUCGGAAUAACUUGGGGAAACUCAAGCUAAUACCGGAUAAGCCCUUAUGGGGAAAGGUUUACUGCCGAAGGAUCGGCCAGCGUCUGAUUAGCUAGUUGGUGAGGUAAUGGCUCACCAAGGCGACGAUCAGUAGCUGGUCUGAGAGGAUGAUCAGCCACACUGGGACUGAGACACGGCCCAGACUCCUACGGGAGGCAGCAGUGGGGAAUAUUGGACAAUGGGGGCAACCCUGAUCCAGCCAUGCCGCGUGAGUGAUGAAGGCCUUAGGGUUGUAAAGCUCUUUUACCCGGGACGAUAAUGACUGUACCGGGAGAAUAAGCCCCGGCUAACUCCGUGCCAGCCGCCGCGGUAA
Molecule: ribosomal RNA, 447 nt
Filed under: uncultured bacterium
Lineage: Bacteria
Description: partial 16S ribosomal RNA
Rfam family: Bacterial small subunit ribosomal RNA
Source: RNAcentral